This 717-nucleotide long non-coding RNA is filed under the name Pan troglodytes (chimpanzee). RNAcentral describes it as "long non-coding RNA NONPTRT003942". The record is from RNAcentral. Lineage: Eukaryota; Metazoa; Chordata; Mammalia; Primates; Hominidae.
UGGUCACAGAGUUAUCAUUUUUAGGGGUGUGGUGGGGUGGGACUGUUGUUGAAGUAAAAGGAGGAGGGUUAGACCUGCCCAACUAGAGGUUUCUUCUAGUUUUUAUAUUUUUAAGACAGUUUAUUAUUAUGUGGCCAAUAAACCAGCAGGUGGCACUACACAACAAUUUUACACAGGCAAAAAUAAGAAUGUGAUCAACACUACUCUGACAAUUUACACAAACAAGAAGUGACCACUUUAAAGACAGAAUGCCAAGAACAAUACAAUAAAUGCUAAAGAGAAAGAGUGACAAGAGUGAGCAACUACAGAUAAUGCAGUCAUGGAACCAGAAAAAGAGAUUCACAGCCUUACAUCAGGGGAAGGAUUUUGGCAGGUGUCUGAAAAUGUGUCUCGAAACAUCUCUGUAGACAAGACUGAGAAAGAGACAAUCUAUGAAAAUCUUCCAGAACUACUAUUUCCAGAAAGACACUCUGGGAAGUACAGCUUUUGACUGAUAAGGAAAAGAAAUUGAGAUGCAUGUUACACCCUCCCAAAGUCUGAAAACCCUAAUUAUUCAGCUCCAGAGAGAGGAAGGAAAUUUUCUAUUGGAAAGAUGAAUAAUUUAAGAGAUGUCUAUGUUGCUACAUCAAUUGUCGGAAUAAAUUAAGUCCAUCUUGACUUUGCCUUCUACAGGAACUAGUUCUCAGUGGCAGAAGUGAAAUAAACUCAAUACCCAGA